GUUCAGCAUAGUGAGGGUUAAUGUAUCCAGUCAUGGGGUGAGGAGACAGGAACUCCCUCUUGUUCUACUGAUUACUCUUUUCAGACUGAAGAUACACAUCAGAGAUAUACCACUCCACAAAAGAAAUGAUGCUGUGAUGGAGAAGAGUAAAAAGGCCACUCAGUAAAGCUUUAAGUGCUUCACGUAAAAUCACAGUGCUCUGAAUAUCUGUGAUUAUACAGCCUAAAACAUGAGUGCUGAGCCUGCAGUGAGGACAAACUCCAUCUUAGACCAGCAUCUGAAGCUGACUGUGGCCACUGGAGGAACAGAGGACUCCUGCUAUCGUUGCACUUUACCAUUCAGCAUUGUGCUCCUGAUGAUUGGCAUUGCAGUUACAGCCGUAGCCUACAGCUUCAACUCCCAUGGUUCUGUCAUCUCCAUCCUGGGGCUGGUGCUGCUCUCCAGCAGUCUGCUGCUGCUGCUGCUGCUCAGCCUCGCUGCGCUGCGCUGGAAACUCAGACAGGGCAAAAAAAUGGACAGACACUCAGCAAGUCAGUGCACUCUAGUGGAGAGCCUGAGACUGACAUAUAUAUGACAAGUAUAUAUGACAGAUAUAUAUAUAGAUAGAUAGAUAGAUAGAUAGAUAGAUAUAGAUAGAUGUAUAGUUCCAUAGCACACAUCAAAAUCAGGCAAUGGGCCUGUGAUAUAUUCUGAGUGAGCAAGGCAAAGGUAGCAAAUUAGUAGGCCAGUGUUUUUGUUUGUUUUUUGUUUUGUUUUUUUUGCCCAGGAUUUCAUCCAGAACAGCUGUAAAAACUCAUAUGUACAAUGCACAGAUGUUUUAAUAAGAGUAGUCUUGUGACACAGCCUAUGUACUGUGCAAUUUCUCAUUACAAACUUUUAUAGCAAGACGUAUAUAUCAUGAAUAAACUAUAUUUUAUAACACUUUUAAA
Pangasianodon hypophthalmus (striped catfish) is the source of this 929-nucleotide long non-coding RNA. RefSeq lists it as uncharacterized. The transcript is spliced from 2 exons. NCBI's taxonomy places the organism in Eukaryota, Metazoa, Chordata, Actinopteri, Siluriformes, Pangasiidae. The record is from RefSeq and is a predicted model, not a curated record.